GUGCUUGCAUCAUGAUUUACAUUUGAGUGAGUGGCGAACUGGUGAGUAACACGUGGGAAACCUGCCCAGAAGCGGGGGAUAACACCUGGAAACAGAUGCUAAUACCGCAUAACAACUUGGACCGCAUGGUCCGAGCUUGAAAGAUGGCUUCGGCUAUCACUUUUGGAUGGUCCCGCGGCGUAUUAGCUAGAUGGUGGGGUAACGGCUCACCAUGGCAAUGAUACGUAGCCGACCUGAGAGGGUAAUCGGCCACAUUGGGACUGAGACACGGCCCAAACUCCUACGGGAGGCAGCAGUAGGGAAUCUUCCACAAUGGACGAAAGUCUGAUGGAGCAACGCCGCGUGAGUGAAGAAGGGUUUCGGCUCGUAAAACUCUGUUGUUAAAGAAGAACAUAUCUGAGAGUAACUGUUCAGGUAUUGACGGUAUUUAACCAGAAAGCCACGGCUAACUACGUGCCAGCAGCCGCGGUAAUACGUAGGUGGCAAGCGUUGUCCGGAUUUAUUGGGCGUAAAGCGAGCGCAGGCGGUUUUUUAAGUCUGAUGUGAAAGCCUUCGGCUCAACCGAAGAAGUGCAUCGGAAACUGGGAAACUUGAGUGCAGAAGAGGACAGUGGAACUCCAUGUGUAGCGGUGAAAUGCGUAGAUAUAUGGAAGAACACCAGUGGCGAAGGCGGCUGUCUGGUCUGUAACUGACGCUGAGGCUCGAAAGUAUGGGUAGCAAACAGGAUUAGAUACCCUGGUAGUCCAUACCGUAAACGAUGAAUGCUAAGUGUUGGAGGGUUUCCGCCCUUCAGUGCUGCAGCUAACGCAUUAAGCAUUCCGCCUGGGGAGUACGGCCGCAAGGCUGAAACUCAAAGGAAUUGACGGGGGCCCGCACAAGCGGUGGAGCAUGUGGUUUAAUUCGAAGCUACGCGAAGAACCUUACCAGGUCUUGACAUACUAUGCAAAUCUAAGAGAUUAGACGUUCCCUUCGGGGACAUGGAUACAGGUGGGUGCAUGGUUGUCGUCAGCUCGUGUCCUGAAAAUGUUGGGGUUAAGUCCCGCAACGAGCGCAACCCUUAUUAUCAGUUGCCAGCAUUAAGUUGGGCACUCUGGUGAGACUGCCGGUGACAACCCGAGGGAAGGGGGGGGGAGGACGUCAAAAAACCAUG
Molecule: ribosomal RNA, 1150 nt
Filed under: Lactiplantibacillus plantarum
Lineage: Bacteria; Bacillati; Bacillota; Bacilli; Lactobacillales; Lactobacillaceae
Description: bacterial SSU rRNA
Rfam family: Bacterial small subunit ribosomal RNA
Source: RNAcentral